UGGGGAAUAUUGGACAAUGGGGGGAACCCUGAUCCAGCCAUGCCGCGUGUGUGAAGAAGGCCUUAUGGUUGUAAAGCACUUUAAGCGAGGAGGAGGGUACUGGUAUUAAUACUACCAGGUACUGGACGUUACUCGCAGAAUAAGCACCGGCUAACUCUGUGCCAGCAGCCGCGGUAAUACAGAGGGUGCAAGCGUUAAUCGGAAUUACUGGGCGUAAAGCGCGCGUAGGUGGUUCGUUAAGUUGAAUGUGAAAGCCCCGGGCUCAACCUGGGAACUGCAUCCAAAACUGGCGAGCUAGAGUAGGGCAGAGGGUGGUAGAAUUUCCUGUGUAGCGGUGAAAUGCGUAGAUAUAGGAAGGAACACCAGUGGCGAAGGCGACCACCUGGGCUCAUACUGACACUGAGGUGCGAAAGCGUGGGGAGCAAACAGG
RNAcentral lists this ribosomal RNA (430 nucleotides) under Pseudomonadota bacterium. Its description in RNAcentral is "Proteobacteria bacterium partial 16S ribosomal RNA". It matches the Rfam family "Bacterial small subunit ribosomal RNA", at positions 355 to 776 of the family's 1533-position model. Lineage: Bacteria; Pseudomonadati; Pseudomonadota. The record is from RNAcentral.